RNAcentral lists this unclassified non-coding RNA (1188 nucleotides) under Hevea brasiliensis (rubber tree). The record is from RNAcentral. Lineage: Eukaryota; Viridiplantae; Streptophyta; Magnoliopsida; Malpighiales; Euphorbiaceae.
GGCGUCUGCUGUUUCUUGCAUUUGGUAUAAUGCUGCUGCUUGUGGCACCUAUUGUAAGUAGUUGGGUUCCAUUUUACUACAGCAGUUCAAUGGCUAUUGGAGUUUGUCUUGUCAUCAUUGUCCUUCUAUUCCAGGGGAUGAAAUUGCUGCCAACUGGAAGGAAAAAUAUAUUCUACCUGACUAUCUAUGGAUCAGUGCUUGGAGCAGGAUCAGUUUUGGUGCAUCAAUUCUCUAUGCUGAUAAAUUCCAUCAUCUCAAAUUUUGGGCUAAGUGAAGAGUUCCACAAUCCUGUUGCUGUAUUUAUUCUUGUCGGAAUCAUCCUUGCUGGAGCUGGUCUUGGAUAUUGGUUGGUGCGGAAAUUUGUUAUAUCAGAUGAUGGUAAUGUGGAUGUUGGUGUCGCACAAUUUGUUAAAUGGGCCAUACGCAUCAUUGGCAUUACCUUCAUCUUCCAGAGCACACUUGAUUCUCCCUUAGUGUUCUUGGUGCUUAGUUCUUGGUGGCUUAUUUGCUUUGCUGUUACUUCUAUGCAGCGGCAUGCAUCAAGGGAUUUGUCAUAUUCUGGAAUCGGAGAUGUUUGGGCAAAGAGUAGUAAGCAGAUAAACAUGAAUAAAAAACGUGCUGAGUUCCUUAGCAAAUCCAGAAAGUUUGGUUCGGUUGGAGUUCCAUACAGUAGCCCGAGCUCAUCUGCAUGGUCUGAUUCUCCUGUCAAAGGAUUUUCAGAUGGCAAAGGUAAAAAAGUGGGCGAAUACUAUUCAACUUUUCACAAGACACCGUACCGAAAGAGAUUCUCGCCAAAGGAGUGGGAAGAUUUCACACAAGAGUCUACCAAGGAAGCUGUUGCUGAAUUAGCUUCGUCUCCUGAAUUCACUAAUUGGAUCAUCAAACAUGCUGAUAGAAUACAGCUUCUACAAGAGGAUAGUUCGGAUGAAUCUGUUGGAAGCGGGUCAGACUCAACAGAUGAUAAUGAUGCAGAGAGUUGUAGUGGGCUUGAAUUGUUUAAAUGGCGGUAUUGCUAGUAGCAACUUCCCCUUAAACUGUUCAUGCAAGGCUCAUUUGAACCUGGAUGGGAGUUAGCUCCAAACUUUUACCAUUCAAUUUUCACCUAAGCUAAGUUAAUAGGAUUAACAAUAGGUAUCAGUAGCUGGUAACAGUUGUUGGAGCUGCAUGCCAGAUAUAGGAACUAGCAUU